This 77-nucleotide transfer RNA is filed under the name Desulfobacterales bacterium GWB2_56_26. RNAcentral describes it as "tRNA-Met". It matches the Rfam family "tRNA". Rfam says of the family: Transfer RNA (tRNA) molecules are approximately 80 nucleotides in length. Their secondary structure includes four short double-helical elements and three loops (D, anti-codon, and T loops). Further hydrogen bonds mediate the characteristic L-shaped molecular structure. tRNAs have two regions of fundamental functional importance: the anti-codon, which is responsible for specific mRNA codon recognition, and the 3' end, to which the tRNAs corresponding amino acid is attached (by aminoacyl-tRNA synthetases). tRNAs cope with the degeneracy of the genetic code in two manners: having more than one tRNA (with a specific anti-codon) for a particular amino acid; and 'wobble' base-pairing, i.e. permitting non-standard base-pairing at the 3rd anti-codon position. The record is from RNAcentral. Lineage: Bacteria; Pseudomonadati; Thermodesulfobacteriota; Desulfobacteria; Desulfobacterales. RNAcentral also lists the same sequence under 2 other names.
GGCGAUGUAGCUCAGUCGGUUAGAGCAUGCGGCUCAUAUCCGCAGUGUCCGGGGUUCAAGUCCCUGCAUCGCCACCA